GAUGAACGCUGGCGGCGUGCAUAACACAUUCAAGUCGAACGGAAGUAGCAAUACUUUAGUGGCGGACGGGUGAGUAACGCGUAAGCAAUCUGCCUCUGUGAGUGGAAUAACAGCUGGAAACGGCUGCUAAUACCGCAUGACGCAACGGAACCGCAUGAUUCUGUUGCCAAAAGAUUUAUCGCACGGAGAUGAGCUUGCGUCCGAUUAGAUAGUUGGCGGGGUAACGGCCCACCAAGUCGACGAUCGGUAGCCGGACUGAGAGGUUGAACGGCCACAUUGGAACUGAGAACGGUCCAGACUCCUACGGGAGGCAGCAGUGGGGAAUAUUGGGCAAUGGACGAAAGUCUGACCCAGCGACGCCGCGUGAGGGAUGAAGAUCUUCGGAUUGUAAACCUUUAGUCAAACCAAGGGACGGAAGCAAGUGACGGUACCUGUGGAGGAAGCCACGGCUAACUACGUG
Molecule: ribosomal RNA, 460 nt
Filed under: uncultured bacterium
Lineage: Bacteria
Description: bacterial SSU rRNA
Rfam family: Bacterial small subunit ribosomal RNA
Source: RNAcentral